Molecule: non-coding RNA, 338 nt
Organism: Pelobates cultripes (western spadefoot toad)
Lineage: Eukaryota; Metazoa; Chordata; Amphibia; Anura; Pelobatidae
Source: the annotation of a GenBank genome assembly
CCAGGCACCCAGACCACUUCUGCCCAUUGGAGUGGUCUGGGUGCCAACUCCCACUACCCUUACUACUAGACAGCCACUAGAGGGCACUUCUUGAUUCAUAGCAAAGAUUUUCUUUGCUAGAGCGUCGCUGGACGUCCUCACGCUGUGUGAGGACCUCCAGCGUCGCUCAAUUCCCCAUAGGAAAACAUUGAAAAUCUUUUUCAAUGCUUUCCUAUGGGAAGACCUUAGGUUUCCUCAGCCGGCGGGCAGGAUCAGUCUCAUCCACCGGCUGACGUGAUUACUGGGAGGAGCGACGCCGACCCGAAACCACCGCCGAGCGACAUUAGCGGGGUCUCAGG